GGUCGACGUAUUCGUUGUUCGAACUUACGAGCUGUAAAAUAAUUUAGCGAUGUGUGCGUGACGACGCUGCACGUGCAAAGUUGCGUGAGGACGCGUGGUACCGUUAGCCGCGAUACUAUUUCUCGUGUCCAUAAGUGCAGCGUUACCUAAACUUUAUUACUUACUGGUAUAUCCCCCUCCGUCAACCGUGACGAACGGCUUUGAUAAACCAUUUCUGUAUUUCUGUUUAUUCGCGUGGAAAUCUUUAUUCAGCGAACUUCCUUGCAAACUUGUUUCUUUGUGAAAUGUUCCAUUGUGUGCCAAAUGAAUAUUCAUAAACAUGGAAGUCUGAAUUUUUAUUAUCAUACCUGUGGGAAAAUUAUGUAACUCGAGAUAUCUCGUUGUUGAGAGCAAAAGGUGUACUGUUUCUAGAAGGACAUACAUUAUUGGGAGGUUGCUGUUCGAAGUGAUUCUAGAUUUUUGCAAAAAUGAAUGGUUUUUCUGUAUCAAUUUAAACUAAUGUAACAAAAUUUCAUAUUUCUUUCGUUGGCAUAUUGUUUUGUCUUGUGGAAAGGAAUGAUAAUAACACGAAACAAGUUGAGGAAGAUGCAUACCUGCUAAAUGGACUAUUAUACCUUUGAAAUUAAUGGGGGAUAUUUUUACCUGUAAUUGCAGUAUAAUAAUUGUCACUAAAAAUCAGGCAUGAAGAGUCCUAGAAUGAACUAUUGUACAUUCAUCACAAUAAAAGUUAACCUCUUGAGGGAUACAGACACAUGUGUAUACACUUGCUUUUAUAUUCAAAUUAUCAUUACUUACGAUCACAAUACCUUUUAGAAGUAAAACAUAUGCCAUAUUAAAGCGAAACAGCAAAUUAAUAUGUUAAAAUCGAUUUACAGAAAAAAAUUGCUUUAAUUUGUGUGUAUCCAAUCACAAGAGAGGUUAACUAUUUCUUUGAUACCAACUAACUCCUCAUCCGCAAAAUGAAAUAAAAUUGAAGAAGUUACUAGGAAAACAAAAACUGUAGAAUUCCGUAUUACUUUAUGUUUGCCAUCUCCGGUCCUGAUCAACGUUUAACCGGUAUAUCGAUGAUUUUAUGUAACGUAUGCAAGUACACUUGUCGCAAGAAAGUUCCACGCGACGUGCAACGCGGAGGUUGAGGUGGAUCGUGAGUUUCGUGCGAAAGUUAUCGCUGGGAGACAGGAAGAGGCACGAUUUCCAUCGACGCGACAGGCAUUGACACUUAAGCCGAUCGUAAGUCAUCGUUAGGUCCGAGUUGUCCGAGAUCGCGCGGCGCAGAGAUACCGGUAAUCCGUGAUUCCCAGCGCGUUUAGCGUCGUGGGUGGUACCGUUACCUGGAUGUGAGACGUGAGUUGGGGCUCACUCAUGCUAUCGACUUUCCGUGGCAGGAAAGGUGGUGAAAAGUAUUGUCCUACAGUCGAGGAGCUAUCGACCAGGUCAUGUGGACUAUAAGAGGAUUAACAACGGCAAUGGCAAACGAUACACGCGUCUACGCGAGCGUAGAAUUUUUUAAUGCGACGCAAGGGUCUAAUGUAGGAAACAAUUAUGCAAAAGUGAGAUAACUGCCAGCGUGGCGCACCGCACCGUGAUAACGCAUAAAUUUCACCCAGAAACAGCGGGGCAUCCUCGAUCCACCUACGAAGAAAUCCAGCUGGAACACCUAAUAAAAACCCGGCGAAAUGGGAUCGCGAUACACCGGCCGGCAACAAAGGAGGCAGCAUCGCGACGAGGUUGCGCGCUAGCCUCGCCGUCUGUGGACUCGCAUACAACCUCGUCUCCCCGGGCACCGUCGGUGUGUGCAUGCGUGGCCGACAUCGUCAUCGAUCAUCCGGCGUCACGGUAGGGUGCGUACGACCGUAGGUAUAUCAACAGGGGAUCGCAUCUUUCUUCCUCAUUUUUUGCCAGUCGAGCGUACUACCUCCCUCGCCCCUCCCGUCCUCCUGCUUCGGCUUUCGACUCCCGCCACCGCGGCCAGUCUUCCGGUUACCGCGACUUCCGGUUGGCGGUCGUACAGUACCGCCUCGUGCCACCUCGCUUCCGGUCGGUCGGGGUAGAACGACGUUACCAUGGCUACCAGGCCUCCUGGCUACACCCCCCGGGCACACCCUCGACAACAUGGCCGCCCUCGUCCUACCCUUGUCUCUUUGCCUCACCCCCGAGACCCGCGUCAUCCACUCCCCCGUCUUUAUAUACAACAUAUUCCCUGUGAACUCGUGUCAAGGAUCCUAGGGGCUGUUUCCACGGACAGAGGGGCGGGGAGGCGAGAAUACCCACAGUGGUCAGAAACCCCAUGGGGCAUGACGUAUCGUGGAAGGACCCUCGACCCUACGAGUGCCACUCGUCUUCCACUGUGUCGGCGAUAUAUAGUGCCUCUGUACACUUCGUAGGGCAUCAUGGUUGCGCGUACACGCCAGGAUUCUACAGGAUCCUUCAUGGCCAGGGUGAUGGCUGGCGAUUUUUCAGUGUCGUGGGACGUCGGUUUUCGAUGUAACGUUGCCGCGGAAUGCCGAAGGGAUGAAUGCGUGAAUGUGUUCGGGACUGACGGUGGUCGCUUUUGUGUCCGAGGGGAGGGAAGGGCGAGUCGGAGCAUCGCGUGGCUACGUAUCUUGUCCCUGCGAUUCGCAUCGGGUCUCGAACUGCCCAGGGAUGCCGAAGUCUGUCCUCCAUGGUGUUGGACGUUGGAUGGAAUUUUGCUACAAUCGUAGAUAACGAAUGGAAGCGAAGUUACUACGAUUUAUUUGGGAUGUUUUGUCGAUUUCUGUGGGUUAGUAAGAGCAGAAUUUGUAUUUUGGUUACUCUAAGCAAUAAUAUUUAUUUGAUUUUCAAAUAAACAUUUCAUUGCAAAUACAAACAAGUGUAAAGUUUGUUCAUGUACAUGUUUAUAAUGAAACAUUUAUUUGAAAAUAUCAAACCUAUCACGUGAUUUAGACAAAUUUUUUUUAAUAUACGUAGAAGAUACGAAUAUUUAUGGGACUGACUGUAGCACAUACAUGGACAAUUUUCUCAAGUUUGUUUAACAAUAAGAGGAAUACUCUUGAUUGUAGUUUACCAAUCAUUGUUCACACAAGAAGAAGAACAGAAAUACUUGAAGUUUCUUCUUGUUUAUUAAAUAUUAGAAGUGUAGAACUGUUUUGCUUCGCCGCUUAGAUAUCAAGGUUAUUACCUGAGGAGGUCUUGAUUAAAACAGAAACUACCCUCAUAAGACAGUUGUUUGUCUUGCAUUCGCUAUCUAAAUAAGAAUUUUAAACUUAUUACCUAUAUUAGCUACAUUACAAAACCAAGCCUUAUGGGAAAUAUGAAAUAUUACCAACCUAAAGAAAUCGUGGCAACACGUAUAAAGAUCAAUGAACUCCUAUAAAACACAAUUUCAAAAAUUCAAUCAUCACAUUUGCUUUCUGCUGUUGGCAUUUAAGUACCACGCCUCCCAAGUUAAAAUCAAUUCCUUCCAAUCCACUCUUAGUUUAACCGUAGCACCUGCAAAUUUACAUCUCCACGAUGGUCUAAUUGUAUUGAUACCGCCAAAAUUCAACCUGGACAACAAAGGGGAACCCCACUCGAGAACUUCGGUAGUUGCCACCACAUGGAAACGUAAUUUGUAAAUCUUCGCCGCGUCCUGGAUCCUUUCGCGUUCGCGUUUUUAAUUGCUCCGUCGAGCAGCGAGAUUCUCGCUACGAUGGCUCGCGUUAAGUAUAAUCAGCCUUUGUCUGGUCAACGUAACUUUCGUUCAGGGUUAUUUUCGCGGACUUUUUUAGGCAGGUUUCGCAAAGUGUGCUCGUUGCACGGCUACACGGGGGCAGACGAGUCCGUUCCGUCUGAAUCAGCCUGCACACACAAGCAGGGAAAGAGCUCGUAUUGAUCCGCUCAAAUCCCCAUAGAAAUUAACUCGAGAACACUCGGCUGCCCCUUUCGCCGAGCCACCGUUCCAGACACGAGCACUCGUUAGAACAUUCAUUAAUUAGCCGUAAUCGAAGCCGGUUUUACUGACGCGGAAUAGAAAUUCGCUGGUACCGUCGGGAUAUCCCUCCAGAAAUUAAAAAAAAAAAGAAAAAUGAACAAGAGAGCGAGAGGGGGAAACUUAGUCAUUCUCCUCGCGGAAACCAUUCUUCCAACUCGCGCGUUUCGGGACUCUAACGCUCUUAAUUAUCUUAGUGGACUCGCUCGGAAAUCUCACUUUCGAUUCUGGUUGGGCACAGUGCGCGGCGAAUAAUUGCAAUUGAGGCGGGAGACUUGGGACUGGGACGCAAUUAAAAUGUACCUAUAUAGGACACGCUUUGAAUAAAUGUACCUAUAUAGGACACGCUUUGAAUAAAUGUAGUAGUGUACCUAGAAUCGUAUUGGGAUUAUCUAUACCCAGAUUCGUGUUUCUAUUGCUUGAAAUCAUUUAAAUUGUUUUCUUUAUAGCAGAAGUACUUGUGAAAGUUAUUAAAUGGAUACUAAUACUUCCACCUCUCUGUUUAUUCAUAGAUUUAGACUUAACAUGUAGGCUAUUGUUUUUUGGGAUUGUUGUAUCUUUUGGUCCAGUCUUGCACAUGUUUUGUUUUCCAUGUCACAUUUCCAUUGUUUUAUAUCAAUCCUUAAUUUCUUAUAAUGUUUUAAAUUAUUUCUCAACAUCUUACAUUACAUUCUUUGACAUCUCUAAUGGGAACCACUGGCCCUUUUACAGGUCGGGUACCUCGGGAUCGCUAAGCCCGUACUAUAGCUGCGUACACGCAUGCUAUAGCCCCUGAGGACUGUUUAUUCAUAUCUUGUAGACAUUCAGUAAUUUGCGAUGAAAAGAAUUGGUGUAAAAAGAAAUUUUCGUAUCCUACCAUUAGGUUGUCCCAAAAAUGCCUAAUUUCUUAGACGUUGAUGUUGUAACAGUAAUGGAGCAAUAUGGAAUUCAAUAAUGUAGCAUUAGACAUAAAAUAUUGUGCAUGUAUUACUUAUUAAUGAAAUGGAAGAAACAUUUGAACUUUCUCCGAACCCAUUCCGCGAUAAAUAUUUCCCAAUUACUUAACUCUUACGAAACAUCCCUUGUUCGUUUCUUACGAAGAGAAAUUCUUCCCCGAUUAUUCGUUUCGCUCGAGUUCAACCGAGACGUUUAUUAAGAGGUUUCUACGCUAUCCAGGUAUAAAACGAGCUCUCUUAAAUGCAUUCAGCGAUCGCUAAAACCUCCAACUCCUCGCGACACCCCCGCGAUUCGCAUCAAUGACCGAACGCGAGGUUCUCGUAGCGCCAAGGUAUUUCGUCGCGGCUGCUUAAGAUUCAUCUUGAAUUACGAUCUUGGCGCCGUCGAAAGAUCAGCCGAGCAGCUUGAACCCUUGAAAAUCCCCGAUGG
This is a long non-coding RNA of Hylaeus volcanicus, 5314 nucleotides long. RefSeq lists it as uncharacterized. NCBI's taxonomy places the organism in Eukaryota, Metazoa, Arthropoda, Insecta, Hymenoptera, Colletidae. The record is from RefSeq and is a predicted model, not a curated record. The transcript has 3 exons.